UUCCGGUUGAUCCCGCCGGACCCGACUGCUAUUUGGGUGAGGAUAAACCAUGCGAGUUGUAUGGGAUACCUAAAUUUCCCAUAGCAAACUGCUUAGUAACACAUGAUCAACUUGCCCUAUGGAGAAAUAUAACCUCGGGAAACUGAGGAUAAUGCUUCAUAGUUGAAUAGGCUUGGAAAAGUUUUUCGAUGAAAGGGAUAAGAAAAAUGGUUCUUAUCUGCCAUAGGAUAGGAUCGUGCUCGAUUAUGGUUGUUGGUGAGGUAACGGCUCACCAAGCCGAUAAUCGAUAGGGGCCGUGAGAGCGGGAGCCCCAAGAUGGGUACUGAGACAGCGACCCAGGCCUUACGAGGCGCAGCAGGUACGAAACCUCCGCAAUACACGAAAGUGUGACGGGGUUACCCAAAGUGUUCUUAUAGAACUGUGGCAGGUGAGUAAUGUCCCCUGCUAGAAAGGAGAGGGCAAGGCUGGUGCCAGCCGCCGCGGUAAAACCAGCUCUUCAAGUGGUCGGGAUAAUUAUUGGGCUUAAAGUGUCCGUAGCCGGUUUAGUAAGUUCCUGGUAAAAUCAGGUAGCUUAACUAUCUGCAUGCUAGGAAUACUGCUAUACUAGAGGGCGGGAGAGGUCUGAGGUACUACAGGGGUAGGGGUGAAAUCUUAUAAUCCUUGUAGGACCGCCAGUGGCGAAGGCGUCAGACUGGAACGCGCCUGACGGUGAGGGACGAAAGCCAGGGGGGCGAACCGGAUUAGAUACCCGGGUAGUCCUGGCCGUAAACGAUGCAUACUAGGUGAUGGUACGGCCAUGAGCCGUGUCAGUGCCGUAGGGAAACCGUUAAGUGUGCCGCCUGGGAAGUACGGUCGCAAGGCUAAAACUUAAAGGAAUUGGCGGGGGAGCACCACAAGGGGUGAAGCCUGCGGUUCAAUUGGAUUCAACGCCGGG
Molecule: ribosomal RNA, 934 nt
Filed under: uncultured archaeon
Lineage: Archaea
Description: bacterial SSU rRNA
Rfam family: Archaeal small subunit ribosomal RNA
Source: RNAcentral